AACAAUCUUGCUUGGACUAUGUUCUAAUUAAACUGGUUAUAAGUUGGAUGCCUGCAUUAAGCAACACAUGGUCGAGGUCACAACAAACCAAGAGGCAGUUUAGUACAGUAUUGCUGAUCCCCUGACCUGUGCAGCUGACUUCACCCUCUCUGCUCCUCCAACUGGCAAAGUCUGACAUCAUCCCUGGGGUCUUGGCAAGGUGCUCUUUUCUUGCUGUCACUGCUUCUGUCACUUCUGUGUCCGCCGCCUCCGAGUUGGAGGUGGUCUCGCCUCGCAGGUCCCGCGUCUCUACCGCGCUGGACAUUGACUGACGGGUAUCCGAGCUCCAAGUCGACCGACGGGAUCCUAGCUCAUCUUCUAAUGUUGCCAUCUGAGUUGGAGCAAGGAUGGAGAUACACAGGGUCCUGAACUCCCAAAACAAAUAAAAAUAUUACCGAAUUGAAAAGGCAACCGUGAAGCCAUGUGAAUGCGACGGAAUUCGCUGCUUGAGACACGAGCAGCCGAACUCCAUGCUGAGGAAUUGAACACUGUCAACUCUGCUGCCAUUUUGGAAGAUGAACAGACACAUCUGUAUGUAUAAUGUUAGGGUAGGAAAGGGUAGAUACUCAAACAUCUGUUCCCUAGCUAUUGGAUUUUUUUCCCUCAGUCAAAAGGGAGUGGAGACCUGAAUAAAUAUUACUUGUAACCUAAUCCUUUUUACUUCUUUCAGUUUGACUCUGCCAUUGACUUCUUUCCAAAUUCCUUCCCUUUUCGCUUGAUGUUCAUUUCUCCAAAAUGUUUUGAGAUAUUCAGCUGCGUAAUUGGAAGAUUUUUCAUUGUGAAAUUGCUUAUAAUUUCAAGUUUUUAUUUGUCCAUCAUUUUGAAGACAAAAAGAACUUUGGAAAAGAAGCUGAGAAUUUCACUUUCCUGUUUAACCACACCAUUGUGUAAGUCUUAAGUUACUGGCGUAGCAUUCCAGAGGCCCAGAUUACUGACCCACAGUCAUUUGUUCAAAUUCCAACAUGGCAGCUCAGGAAUUUACAUUCGGUUAUCAAAUAAAUCUGAACUGAA
Chiloscyllium plagiosum (whitespotted bambooshark) is the source of this 1050-nucleotide non-coding RNA. Lineage: Eukaryota; Metazoa; Chordata; Chondrichthyes; Orectolobiformes; Hemiscylliidae. The record is from RefSeq and is a predicted model, not a curated record.